This 432-nucleotide ribosomal RNA is filed under the name uncultured prokaryote. RNAcentral's name for it is "bacterial SSU rRNA". It matches the Rfam family "Bacterial small subunit ribosomal RNA", at positions 342 to 791 of the family's 1533-position model. The record is from RNAcentral.
CGGGAGGCAGCAGUGGGGAAUAUUGGACAAUGGGGGCAACCCUGAUCCAGCCAUGCCGCGUGAAUGAAGAAGGCCUUAGGGUUGUAAAGUUCUUUCGCUAGAGAUGAUAAUGACCGUAUCUAGAUAAGAAGCCCCGGCUAACUCCGUGCCAGCAGCCGCGGUAAUACGGAGGGGGCUAGCGUUGUUCGGAAUUACUGGGCGUAAAGGGUGCGUAGGCUGACACGUAAGUCAGAGGUGAAAUCCCGGGGCUUAACCUCGGAACUGCCUUUGAUACUGCGUGUCUUGAAUGAUAGAGAGGCAAGUAGAAUUCCGAGUGUAGAGGUGAAAUUCGUAGAUAUUCGGAGGAAUACCGGUGGCGAAGGCGGCUUGCUGGCUAUUUAUUGACGCUGAGGCACGAAAGCGUGGGGAUCAAACAGGAUUAGAUACCCUAGU